Molecule: ribosomal RNA, 292 nt
Filed under: uncultured Planctomycetota bacterium
Lineage: Bacteria; Pseudomonadati; Planctomycetota
Description: uncultured planctomycete partial 16S ribosomal RNA
Source: RNAcentral
GGACUACCGGGGUAUCUAAUCCCGUUCGCUCCCCUGGCUUUCGCGCCUCAGCGUCAGAAGAGGGCCAGCAUGUCGCUUUCGCCACCGGCGUUCCUUCCGAUAUCAACGCAUUUCACCGCUCCACCGGAAGUUCCACAUGCCCCUACCUCCCUCCAGCGCAUCAGUAUCCAAGGCCCUUUUCCGGUUGAGCCGAAAGAUUUCACCCCGGACUGGAUGCGCCGCCUACGCGCCCUUUAAGCCCAGUGAUUCCGAACAACGUUCGCACGGUUCGUCUUACCGCGGCUGCUGGCAC